GUCUUUUUGUUAAAAAUUUAAAGUCUAAUCUGCCCAUUGAUUAAUUAAAAGGCUGCAGUAAAUUAACUGCACAAAGGUAGCAUAAUCAAUAGUUUUUUAAUUGGAAACUUGUAUGAAGGAUUGAACGAGAUAUCAACUUUCUAAGAAUAAUAAUAUGUUGAAUUUGAUUUAUAGAUUAAAAAGUCUAGAUAUAAUUAAAAGACGAUAAGACCCUAUAGAAUUUGAUAGUUAUGUUAAUUUAAUAAUGAUAUAGUUAAAUUGGAUUAGCUUGAUUAUUUUAUUGGGGAGAUAUUAAGAUUAAAAUAACUCUUAAUUUUUUUAAUCAAUAAUUUUUGAUAAAAAUUGAUCCUGUUUUAUGGAAUUAAGAACAAAUUACCUUAGGGAUAACAGCGUAAUUCUUUUUGAAAGUUCAUAUUAAUAAAAGAGUUUGCGACCUCGAUGUUGAAUUAAGAUGAAUUUAAGGUGUAGAAGCUU
RNAcentral lists this ribosomal RNA (474 nucleotides) under Orussus minutus. Its description in RNAcentral is "partial 16S ribosomal RNA". The record is from RNAcentral. Lineage: Eukaryota; Metazoa; Arthropoda; Insecta; Hymenoptera; Orussidae.